Molecule: ribosomal RNA, 2339 nt
Filed under: Salmonella enterica subsp. enterica serovar Heidelberg
Lineage: Bacteria; Pseudomonadati; Pseudomonadota; Gammaproteobacteria; Enterobacterales; Enterobacteriaceae
Description: partial 23S ribosomal RNA
Rfam family: Bacterial large subunit ribosomal RNA
Source: RNAcentral
CCACCACUAAGCCAGUGGUGAACUCCACAUACGCAUCCUUUGCUGAGGAUACGGUUAACGGAGCGAAAGCGACGUUCAACCGCAAAAGAAGCAGAGGGGGCUUAGUGGUGGGGUGACUGCGUACCUUUUGUAUAAUGGGUCAGCGACUUAUAUUCUGUAGCAAGGUUAACCGAAUAGGGGAGCCGGAGGGAAACCGAGUCUUAAUUGGGCGUUAAGUUGCAGGGUAUAGACCCGAAACCCGGUGAUCUAGCCAUGGGCAGGUUGAAGGUUGGGUAACACUAACUGGAGGACCGAACCGACUAAUGUUGAAAAAUUAGCGGAUGACCUGUGGCUGGGGGUGAAAGGCCAAUCAAACCGGGAGAUAGCUGGUUCUCCCCGAAAGCUAUUUAGGUAGCGCCUCGUGAAUUCAUCUCCGGGGGUAGAGCACUGUUUCGGCUAGGGGGCCAUCCCGGCUUACCAACCCGAUGCAAACUGCGAAUACCGGAGAAUGUUAUCACGGGAGACACACGGCGGGUGCUAACGUCCGUCGUGAAGAGGGAAACAACCCAGACCGCCAGCUAAGGUCCCAAAGUCAUGGUUAAGUGGGAAACGAUGUGGGAAGGCCCAGACAGCCAGGAUGUUGGCUUAGAAGCAGCCAUCAUUUAAAGAAAGCGUAAUAGCUCACUGGUCGAGUCGGCCUGCGCGGAAGAUGUAACGGGGCUAAACCAUGCACCGAAGCUGCGGCAGCGACGCUGAUGCGUUGUUGGGUAGGGGAGCGUUCUGUAAGCCUGCGAAGGUGACCUGUGAGGGUUGCUGGAGGUAUCAGAAGUGCGAAUGCUGACAUAAGUAACGAUAAAGCGGGUGAAAAGCCCGCUCGCCGGAAGACCAAGGGUUCCUGUCCAACGUUAAUCGGGGCAGGGUGAGUCGACCCCUAAGGCGAGGCCGAAAGGCGUAGUCGAUGGGAAACGGGUUAAUAUUCCCGUACUUGGUGUUACUGCGAAGGGGGGACGGAGAAGGCUAUGUUGGCCGGGCGACGGUUGUCCCGGUUUAAGCGUGUAGGUGUGUGUUCCAGGUAAAUCCGGUUCACUUUAACACUGAGGCGUGACGACGAGGCACUACGGUGCUGAAGCAACAAAUGCCCUGCUUCCAGGAAAAGCCUCUAAGCAUCAGGUAACAUCAAAUCGUACCCCAAACCGACACAGGUGGUCAGGUAGAGAAUACCAAGGCGCUUGAGAGAACUCGGGUGAAGGAACUAGGCAAAAUGGUGCCGUAACUUCGGGAGAAGGCACGCUGACACGUAGGUGAAGUGAUUUACUCACGGAGCUGAAGUCAGUCGAAGAUACCAGCUGGCUGCAACUGUUUAUUAAAAACACAGCACUGUGCAAACACGAAAGUGGACGUAUACGGUGUGACGCCUGCCCGGUGCCGGAAGGUUAAUUGAUGGGGUCAGCGCAAGCGAAGCUCCUGAUCGAAGCCCCGGUAAACGGCGGCCGUAACUAUAACGGUCCUAAGGUAGCGAAAUUCCUUGUCGGGUAAGUUCCGACCUGCACGAAUGGCGUAAUGAUGGCCAGGCUGUCUCCACCCGAGACUCAGUGAAAUUGAACUCGCUGUGAAGAUGCAGUGUACCCGCGGCAAGACGGAAAGACCCCGUGAACCUUUACUAUAGCUUGACACUGAACAUUGAGCCUUGAUGUGUAGGAUAGGUGGGAGGCUUUGAAGUGUGGACGCCAGUCUGCAUGGAGCCGACCUUGAAAUACCACCCUUUAAUGUUUGAUGUUCUAACGUGGACCCGUUACCCGGGUUGCGGACAGUGUCUGGUGGGUAGUUUGACUGGGGCGGUCUCCUCCUAAAGAGUAACGGAGGAGCACGAAGGUUGGCUAAUCCUGGUCGGACAUCAGGAGGUUAGUGCAAUGGCAUAAGCCAGCUUGACUGCGAGCGUGACGGCGCGAGCAGGUGCGAAAGCAGGUCAUAGUGAUCCGGUGGUUCUGAAUGGAAGGGCCAUCGCUCAACGGAUAAAAGGUACUCCGGGGAUAACAGGCUGAUACCGCCCAAGAGUUCAUAUCGACGGCGGUGUUUGGCACCUCGAUGUCGGCUCAUCACAUCCUGGGGCUGAAGUAGGUCCCAAGGGUAUGGCUGUUCGCCAUUUAAAGUGGUACGCGAGCUGGGUUUAGAACGUCGUGAGACAGUUCGGUCCCUAUCUGCCGUGGGCGCUGGAGAACUGAGGGGGGCUGCUCCUAGUACGAGAGGACCGGAGUGGACGCAUCACUGGUGUUCGGGUUGUCAUGCCAAUGGCACUGCCCGGUAGCUAAAUGCGGAAGAGAUAAGUGCUGAAAGCAUCUAAGCACGAAACUUGCCCCGAG